UGGGGAGCAAACAGGAUAGAUACCUGGUAGUCCACGCGUAACGAUGAGUGCUAAGUGUAGGGGGUUCCCCCUAGUGCUGCAGCUAACGCAUUAAGCACUCCGCUGGGGAGUACGACCGCAAGGUUGAAACUCAAAGGAAUUGACGGGGGCCCGCACAAGCGGUGGAGCAUGUGGUUUAAUUCGAAGCAACGCGAAGAACCUUACCAGGUCUUGACAUCCUUUGACCACUCUAGAGAUAGAGCUUUCCCUUCGGGGACAAAGUGACAGGUGGUGCAUGGUGUCGUCAGCUCGUGUCGUGAGAUGUUGGGUUAAGUCCCGCAACGAGCGCAACCCUUAUUGUUAGUUGCCAUCAUUAAGUUGGGCACUCUAGCGAGACUGCCGGUGACAAACCGGAGGAAGGUGGGGAUGACGUCAAAUCAUCAUGCCCCUUAUGACCUGGGCUACACACGUGCUACAAUGGACAGUACAAUGAGCAGCGACACGGUGACGUGAAGCGAAUCUCAUAAAGCUGUUCUCAGUUCGGAUUGUAGGCUGCAACUCGCCUACAUGAAGCCGGAAUCGCUAGUAAUCGCGGAUCAGCACGCCGCGGUGAAUACGUUCCCGGGCCUUGUACACACCGCCCGUCACACCACGAAAGUUUGUAACACCCGAAGUCGGUGAGGUAACCGCAAGGAGCCAACCGCCUAAGGUGGGAUAGAUGAUUGGGGUGAAGUCGUAACAAGGUAACCAAGGGCGAAUUCUG
Molecule: ribosomal RNA, 742 nt
Filed under: uncultured Vagococcus sp.
Lineage: Bacteria; Bacillati; Bacillota; Bacilli; Lactobacillales; Enterococcaceae
Description: bacterial SSU rRNA
Rfam family: Bacterial small subunit ribosomal RNA
Source: RNAcentral